Molecule: small RNA, 83 nt
Filed under: Marmota monax (woodchuck)
Lineage: Eukaryota; Metazoa; Chordata; Mammalia; Rodentia; Sciuridae
Source: RNAcentral
GCCGGGUGUGGGGGCCCACACCUGUAAUCCCAGCAACUUUGGAGGCUGAGGCAGGAGGAUUCUGAAUUCAAAGCCAGCCUCAG